CGAGCGAGCGGAACUAACAGAUUUACUUCGGUAAUGACGUUAGGAAAGCGAGCGGCGGAUGGGUGAGUAACACGUGGGGAACCUGCCCCAUAGUCUGGGAUACCACUUGGAAACAGGUGCUAAUACCGGAUAAGAAAGCAGAUCGCAUGAUCAGCUUUUAAAAGGCGGCGUAAGCUGUCGCUAUGGGAUGGCCCCGCGGUGCAUUAGCUAGUUGGUAAGGUAAAGGCUUACCAAGGCGAUGAUGCAUAGCCGAGUUGAGAGACUGAUCGGCCACAUUGGGACUGAGACACGGCCCAAACUCCUACGGGAGGCAGCAGUAGGGAAUCUUCCACAAUGGACGCAAGUCUGAUGGAGCAACGCCGCGUGAGUGAAGAAGGUUUUCGGAUCGUAAAGCUCUGUUGUUGGUGAAGAAGGAUAGAGGUAGUAACUGGCCUUUAUUUGACGGUAAUCAACCAGAAAGUCACGGCUAACUACGUGCCAGCAGCCGCGGUAAUACGUAGGUGGCAAGCGUUGUCCGGAUUUAUUGGGCGUAAAGCGAGCGCAGGCGGAAGAAUAAGUCUGAUGUGAAAGCCCUCGGCUUAACCGAGGAACUGCAUCGGAAACUGUUUUUCUUGAGUGCAGAAGAGGAGAGUGGAACUCCAUGUGUAGCGGUGGAAUGCGUAGAUAUAUGGAAGAACACCAGUGGCGAAGGCGGCUCUCUGGUCUGCAACUGACGCUGAGGCUCGAAAGCAUGGGUAGCGAACAGGAUUAGAUACCCUGGUAGUCCAUGCCGUAAACGAUGAGUGCUAAGUGUUGGGAGGUUUCCGCCU
Molecule: ribosomal RNA, 809 nt
Filed under: Lactobacillus crispatus
Lineage: Bacteria; Bacillati; Bacillota; Bacilli; Lactobacillales; Lactobacillaceae
Description: bacterial SSU rRNA
Rfam family: Bacterial small subunit ribosomal RNA
Source: RNAcentral